CUGUUGAGGCGAGUUUAUGGAUAUCCCCGGCCCCCAGUGGUCCCUGCUUCGGAUGAUUUGGGGCAAUUCCAUCUGAAUGCACAUCACUACCAAGGCCAAGGUUUUGGAAGGAAGCCCUUCUCCUCUCCCAUCUCAAGAUUACACCAUGGGACCCUGGAAGAGGGGACUCAGGCCCCUGUCCCUGGAUGCUUGACCAGUGCACACUGCUGCCUGCCUUUUCUUUGUGUCCAUCCGGGAACAGCCUUCUGCCAGCUUCUAUGUUACCUGUCCUCAGUCCACUUGAAUCUCUUGAGAGAGCUGAAUCCUGUGUGUGCCUAGGCCCUGCCACAGGGACCUGGACGAUCUGCCUUUUGAGACAAGGUUGUUGAUGUCCUGUGCCCCCGGUGGACCCUGCUUCUGGUGAUGUGGGGCAGCAUCCACCUGAAUGCUCUUCACCACGUAGCCCAAGAUUUUGGAAGGAAGCCCUUCUCCUCUCCUAUCUCAAUAUGAGACCAUCGGUCCAUGGGCAAUAGUCUCCCCUGGUGUCACAACUUCCCGUGUGCUCUUGGUUCUGGGACACCACCACCCCACUGCUCUAGCAGGUCUGGGGUCAGCCUUGGAGGCCCCUUCUUUGCUCGCCGCCUUGACCUGGAAGCUUGGGUCAGCAGAUCUAAGGCCAACCUGGCAGCUGUACUGCUCACCCUGAAAAUAUUUAUACAAAGAUCAAGAUCGUUAUCCAUUAAAAGUUCACAUUUUAAGUAUUCGGCCUCCAGAUUUCUGUCCUCAAAUUCCUGCCUUGACUUCCUUCCACAGUGGACUGUCAUCUGUAAGCCAAAUAAACCCUUUCCCAGAA
Long non-coding RNA from Peromyscus eremicus (cactus mouse), 832 nucleotides. RefSeq lists it as uncharacterized. The record is from RefSeq and is a predicted model, not a curated record. The transcript has 5 exons. NCBI's taxonomy places the organism in Eukaryota, Metazoa, Chordata, Mammalia, Rodentia, Cricetidae.